CCCUUGUGGAGGAGGACGCCGAAGGUGGGGCUAAUGACUGGGGUGAAGUCGUAACAAGGUAGCCGUACCGGAAGGUGCGGCUGGAUCACCUCCUAACAGGGAGACAACAAAAUGUAAUAUAUUAAUUUUGUCACCUUAGGUCGAUCGGUAUCUCAGAUUCUUAAUUUUUAAGAAUUUCAGUUUCUAAGUUUUUUCUAGGUCACACCCAUCACUUUUUCCUGGGCCAUUAGCUCAGGUGGUUAGAGCGCACCCCUGAUAAGGGUGAGGUCCCUGGUUCAAGUCCAGGAUGGCCCAUAUCUCUAUGUUGGGGGUAUAGCUCAGUUGGUAGAGCGCCUGCUUUGCAAGCAGGAUGUCAGCGGUUCGAGUCCGCUUACCUCCACUGAAUACCACCUCUUACAUAUUGUAAAAGAUGGAAAUUGUGUUGAUUCGUGUCCUAAUUUGCUCUGAGCGAAUCUAGCUUCAUAUUUUAUUUAAUAAAAUAAGAUGCUGGACUCAUUGAAUUUUAUUCAUUGUUUUUCAGAGAACCUUGACAACUGCAUAGAUUUUUUUUGAAGACAAUAAGCAUCUUUAAUGAUGCAGAUUUAUUAUUUGUGCGAAUGCAUUAAAUAACAAUUCUAUUAAGCUGAUGCUUCAAUUAUUGAAGUUAUUGGUCAAGCUACAAAGGGCUCACGGAGGAUACCU
Molecule: unclassified non-coding RNA, 681 nt
Filed under: uncultured Prochlorococcus sp.
Lineage: Bacteria; Bacillati; Cyanobacteriota; Cyanophyceae; Synechococcales; Prochlorococcaceae
Description: partial may contain 16S ribosomal RNA, 16S-23S ribosomal RNA intergenic spacer, and 23S ribosomal RNA
Rfam family: Bacterial small subunit ribosomal RNA (bases 1-96)
Source: RNAcentral